AACGAACGUUGGCGGCGUGGAUGAGGCAUGCAAGUCGAACGCGAAAGCCGCAAGGCGAGUAAAGUGGCGGACGGGCGAGUAACACGUAAUCAAGCUACCUGCGAGACGGGGAUAACUUCGGGAAACCGAAGCUAAGACCCGAUGGUCUUCUAGGAACGCAUGUUCCAUGAAGUAAAUGGGCGGGAUCCUCCGGGAUCGCCUGCUCGCAGAGGUGAUUGCGGCCCAUCAGCUAGUUGGUAGGGUAAUGGCCUACCAAGGCAACGACGGGUAGCCGGCCUUAGAGGGUGGUCGGCCGCACUGGGACUGAGACACUGCCCAGACUCCUACGGGAGGCUGCAGUCGAGAAUCUUCCGCAAUGGGCGAAAGACCUGACGGAGCGACGCCGCGUGGAGGAUGAAGGCCUCGUGU
This 408-nucleotide ribosomal RNA is filed under the name uncultured bacterium. RNAcentral's name for it is "bacterial SSU rRNA". It matches the Rfam family "Bacterial small subunit ribosomal RNA", at positions 29 to 422 of the family's 1533-position model. The record is from RNAcentral.